Molecule: long non-coding RNA, 8145 nt
Filed under: Equus caballus (horse)
Lineage: Eukaryota; Metazoa; Chordata; Mammalia; Perissodactyla; Equidae
Description: lncRNA (ENSECAG00000045176.1)
Source: RNAcentral
GUCCACCCUCCCUCGCUUUCCACAUCCUGCACGGGAGCAGGACAUUUGUUACAAUUAAUGAACCUACAUUUACACAUCGUCAUCUUCUGGGUUUUAAACUUCUUUUUUUCAGUGUUGCUCUAGAAAUUACAAUAUUAAUCCUUAAGCUAUCACAGUCUACCUUGAGUUAAUAUCAUCUCACUUCUCAUAUUAUGUAAGAGCAUAAUUUCAUUUACACCUUUCCUUCUCUUUGUGUUAUUGUUGUCAUAUGUUUUAUUCCUACAUUUGUUAUGAAUACCAUCACACAUUGUUAUUGUUUUUACUUUAACUAGUCAAUAGUCUUUUAAAUAAAUUCUUGUAAACACCUCCAUACUUACCAUUUCUUUUUUUUUUUUUUUUAGUGUAUAAAGAAUUUUUUUUUAUUUGAUUUUUUUUCCUUUUUCUCCCCAAAGCCCCCCAGUACAUAGUUGUAUAUUCUUCGUUGUGGGUCCUUCUAGUUGUGGCACGUGGGACGCUGCCUCAGCAUGGCUUGAUGAGCAGUGCCAUGUCCGCGCCCAGGAUUCGAACCAACAAAACACUGGGCCGCCUGCGGCGGAGCACACGAACUCAACCACUCAGCCAUGGGGCCACCCCCAUCCUUACAUUUCUGAUGCUCUUUGUUCCUUCCUGCAGAUUUAUGAUUCUAUCUGGGACUAUUUCUCUUUAGCCUGAAGGCCAUCCUUAGUAUUUGUUGUAUUGAAGUUCUGCUGCCAGCAAAUUAUCUCAGUGUUUGUUUUCCUGAAAAUGCCUUUAUUUUACCUUGAGUUUUGAAGGACGUUUUCACUGGAUAAAGAAUUCUAGGUUGGCAGUUUUCUUUCAGUGCUUUAAAGAUGUUGUCCUAUUAUUUUCUGGCUUCCAAUGUUCCUGAUGAGAAGUCAGCCAUAAUUCUUAUUGUUCUUCCCUUGAAUGUGAUUUGUCCUUUUUUUCUCCAGCUGAUUUUUAAGAAAGUUCUCUUUAUCUGUGAUUUUAGUAAUUUGACUAUGAUUUUCUGUGUAUGGUGUUUUUGUAUUUAUCCUCCUUGAGGUGUGCUGAGUUUCUUGAAUCUGUGGGUUGAUAUCUGUCAUUCGUUUUGGAAAAUGUUUGGUCAUUAUCUCUUCAAAUAUUUUCUCUGUCCCAUUCUCUUUCUCCUUUCAUUCUGGAACUCUAAAUACACAUAUAUUAGCCCAUUUAAUUUGUCCCGUAGUUCUUGGAUGCUUUGUUCCAUCUUAUUUUAUUAUUCUUUUUUUUCCCUGUAUGCUUUAUUUUGGAUAAUUUCUGUUGACCCGUCUUUGAUCCUUUCUUCACAGAUCCUUUCUUCUGCCAUGUCCAAUAUGCUAUUAAAGUAUCUCCAAGGAAUUCUUCAUUUCAGAUACUGUAUUUUUCUGUUCAAGAAUUUCCAUUUAAAACGUUUCAUUUCUAUGCUGAAUUCCCCCAUUUGUGCAAAUGUUUUGUCCAUCUUUUCCUUUAAAUCCUUUAAUACGUUUAUAUAUUUAGUCUUUGCCAAUUCCAGCACCUGGAUUAUAUUGAGUUUACUGCUAGUGACUUUUUUCUCUUGACUAUAGGUCACAUUUCCUACUUCUUUACGUGUCUAGUAAUUUCUUAUUAUAUGUUAGACAGUUUGAAUGUUACAUUGUGGAAAUCUGGAUUAUGAUAUCACCCUCUGAAGAGCGUUGUUGUCUUUUUUUCUGGUGGGCAGAUAACUAACCAGAGGAUCGUCUUGAUCUUGUUGAGAAUUGAUUUUAGACUUUGUUACAAUGAGUCAAUUUCAGUUUUACCCACAGCCCUAGGGUGAAGCCCUUCUCAAUAGUAGCCUUUCUAGAUUUUCAGCAGAAUUCUCAGAGUAUUCUCCAAGGUCUCUCCUCUCUCAUUGGCUCAGGACUCCAAUAUUACUUCAACACUGAGAUCUCUGAAAUCUCUGUUCAGCCCUCAGCCUCCAAGCAGGUUUUCUGCCAGGCCUUGUGGAGUCUUGCCCUGUGCUUGCACACCUUAGGAUUCAGCUGUGGACCUGAAGGGAAUCCCUGUGCAGAUUUUGAAGGCUCCAUCUCUGCUGCUUCUUCUCUGUAAUCUUUCUUUGGUAAUCUGCCCCACAAAUUCUAGCAGUUUUAACAGCCCUAAACUCUGAACUCUCUUUCUACACCCAGUGGACUUUAGCUCUUUGCUUGGAAUCUGCUUUCCUGUGCCAUAGUUUGAAAACUACCCCCAGGCAGAAAGUCAAGGUGAAUGUGGAGCUCAGCCUUGUGCUUCCUUUUGCUUGAGGGUGAUAGCCUUGCAUUGCCUGUGGUUCAAUGCCUGAUAGUGUUUAUUUCAUAUAUUUUGUCCAGUUUUAUAGUUAUUUAUGUCAGGCAGAUAAGUCCCAUACCAGCUACUCUGCCAUGGAUAGAACCAGAAAUUUCUCCUAUUCUUCUCUGAGUCCUUUCCAAUUAAGCUUUUAUCCUCAAGACCCCAGUCUUUUCAAGGUCACUACUGACCUCCACUUUGCUGACUCUGAUUUUCAUUACGAGGUCUCAUCUAACCUGAACGUUCAGCAGCAGUCUCCAUUGUUGAACACCCUCUUCUUGAAACACCUUUUUUUUUCACUUGGCCUCCAGGAAACCAUUGUUUCUUGAUUUUCCUCUUACUUCAGUGACAGCACCACUUUAGUCUUCUUUGCUUGUUCCUCCUCAUCUUCUUGGCCUCCAAGUGCUGGAAAGCCUCAGAGCUCACUAAGAUCUCUUCUUUUCUCUUCUUGGGAAUCGCAUUGAUUCCCAAGGCUUUAAAUACCAUCUACAUAUUCACAAUUCCUAAAUUUGUAUUUCCAGCCUUGAUCUCUGCCCUGAAAUCCAGACUUGGGGCUCCAACUGCUUUUUUUAACAUCUCCACUUGGGAGUCUAAAAAGCAUCCCAAAUUUAACAUGUCCAAAACAGAACUUAUAAUUUUUUCCUUCACAAGCCUGCCUUUCCCAUCUUAAUAAAUAACUCCAAUCUUCCAGUUUUUCAGGCCAAUAAUUUUGGAGUCAUCCUUGAAACUUCUCUUUUACUCAAACCCCACACCCAACCCACCCAAGACCUUUCGUUGGCUCAGCCUUAGAAAUCUGCCCACCAUCUCUCUCCUGGAUUAUUGCAACACUUCCUAAACAGCUUCCUUGCUUCCACCCUUGCCCUCUGUAUCAGCCAGGGACAUGGCAGGCUACAGAUGGCACACUCAGAGGAUACGACUGCAGAGAAUUUAUGAAAGGGGCUGAUCACAAGUUGUGGGUGGGGUCAAGGGUACCAACAAGGGAUAGUGAAGCAUCCUGUCACCACCCCUAGGAUGAGUAAGAGUGAUAGAUGCUAGAAAGGACCUCUUGAUGGGAGCCAUAGCCUUUGGCAGAAAAAGUCAGCAACUGCCACACUACAGCCCAGCAGUGAGAGAGCCAGAGGAAUCUGAUCUUGUGCCCCUGUCUUCCUCUGGCUGGACCUAACUGGAAGCCAAAGUGUUGGGAGUCCAUUGAUAUAGUGCAUGGAGGUUAGCCUCCCUGGGCAGAAAGCCGGGUAGAGAAGGGGAUGGUGGGUUUAGAAGGCAAAUGGGGAAUCUCCAUCAAACCCGAUCCCCUCCUCACAUAUGCACACACUGUGGUCCAUCCUCCACAGAGCAGCCAGAGUGAUGUGUUCACUGCAGCAGAGCAGAGGGGAGAGCAGAGCCACAAGAUGGAUGGGGCCUGGGUCUGAGAAACACUCGAUGGAGGGGACCUGCCUGCCGACCAGGAAACCUCUAUUGUGUUUGAGUUAAUAGAUAUUUGGGAGUCUCUUUGUUACAGUUUAGCCCACUUGACUGAUACUUCUGUGAAACAAGGGUCACAAGAGUGUCAUCUCCAUAGGGUUGCUGGGAGAAUUAAAUAAGAUAUAAUUGCUUAGGGCAAUGCUUAGCAUAUUGUAAGUUCUCAAGCAAUCAUAACAAUUAUAAAUAUUUGAAAUGAAUACAUAAUCAUGCUAUUAAUCAUUUUUUUCAAAUGCCUCAUUACAGGUUUUGGGGAUUUUUCUAGAGAAUAGACAAAUUGUGGAGGGUAUAGGUAUAUAUGGGAGGAGAGAAUUACAGCCUCCCCCCCACAAGAGGCUUCUGGUCCACUUGGCCUCCAGGCAGAGAACCCAAGAGCUUGUUCCAGCCCUGUCCUGAGCAAAACACCCCCACUGGGGUCACACUGUGGUACCCAGUCUCCAAAGAUGGCCUCACGGGACCAUGACUCCCAGCACCCGCUCCCCUGGGAGGUCCCUCCCACACUGAAUCUGGGCUGACCUGUGACUCAGUUCAGGAUAGGGCAGAAGGUACUCUGUGCCUGUUCCAGGUCAAUGCCUUCCACUCUUGCACUUUUGGGAGCCCUAAGUCGUGACAAGCAGUGUGGCUCCCCUGUGGGAGAGACCAUGUGGAGGGGUCACGUGGAUAGGCAGAGACCCUGAGACUCCGUGGAGAUGGAGAGAGAGGCCCAGUCAUCCCAAUGAACCAGAUGAGGCCAGCCUUCCGGUUGUCCCCGCAAAGGCACAAGCCACGUGUAUGAGCCAUCUGCAAGCUCUCCAGCCGGGUGGAGCCCCAGACGACGGCCACUCAGCCAACAUCAGAGAGCAGAAGACUCAUCUGGCUGGGCCCAGUCAACCCUCAGAGUCGAGAGAGCAUAAAAUGGCAGUUGUGUCAAGUCACUUAGUUUUUGGGUGGUUUGUACAUGGCAGCAGGUAACCAAACAGCAACCAGAGCCGGCCCACGGGAGCAGCGUUUGCUGCCUUGAAUUUCCAGCUCGCCCAGCCUCUCACUACAGGGAAACCAAGGGCCAUGUUGCAACCAGAUGCAGGCGGGCUGGGGUGGGAUUCUCCAGGCUCUCUUGGGUGGGGGGGAGUCUGAAUCCUGCCCCCUUGCCGACUGGGGAGGCUGGGCUCCCUCCGCUUGUCUCCAUUCCUCUUCUUGAUUGGCACUUUAAUGAGGGCAGAAGGGGCUGACCCCCUGCCAGGGGGCCAGUUCAUGCCCCGUUUAUCUCGCAGCUCGAGGCAGACUAGAACAACACUGCAGGCGAGCGGCCGGCCAGGAGCCCCCGCCCUCGGUGAUGGAUUGAGUGACCGCGGCGAGUUGGCAGCUGAAGUGUGUGGUGGCUGCACCGUCCUGUCAGCGUGCAACAAAGGGGCCCGCUCGCCAAGCUGCUCUUCCCGGGAAGAAUGACGAGCAGCUCCCAGGGCCCGGCCGCCCUCCCCCAACUCCAACGCCAAGUUUCAAAAGACAGGCCUGAGGAUGGGGCCCAGGAUGCUGGAGGAACUGUUCUGGGGUCCAGGGGGCUGGUGCAUGGGGGUUGGGGAAUUCUGGGCUUGCAGGAAGAGCUGGCACAGAAAACUUUUUCUCUCUGCCUCCUAGUUUCAGGGUCCAAGCCUGGGCCAUAUUCUCAGCAAACAGCCCUCCUGACUGUUUCAUCGAUGGGCUCCAGAGUCCAGCAACCUGUGGGGGAUCCCAGCUGGGCCUUCUACUUGCUGUGCAACUUUACCCCCAGUCGGAAUGAGUCACAGCCCCGGCUUGUAGCCUGAAGAGCUCCACCGGCCCUUCCUUCACAGUUCAUGCGUGUUACGAGUCGCCUUCCGUCUGUCUGUGUGGGUAUUUGGUCCAUGAUGAUGAGCUUGUGUGGACAGGGGCCUUCGCUGCUCACCUAGGCGUCCCCAGCCCCUGGCAGACAGCCUGGCACAGCAGAUGCUCAAUAAAUACUUGCAGACCAGAUACCAUUGCCAGCGUGCGUCUCCCAGUAAACUGGGGACUCUCCUGGGGCAGGGACGUGUCCUGUCUUGUUCAUCAUUAUAGCCCCAAACUCAGAGCCUUGCACAGAGAAGGCUCUUGUGGGAUAUUUGGUAAAUGAAUGAAUUUGCUGCAGAAGAAAAAAGAAAGCAAGAGCAGCCAUAACCACAAAAUCAAGGAAGCUGACCUAGUUUGGGGCAAGAACUGCUGAGAAUGAGGAGAUUCUGAGUCCUUUCAUUUCAAAAGAAUUGUUCCACAUGCUUCACUGAGCCAGGUCCCUGGGGAACCAUGACAUCAGGGAAAGCUGACUGAGCCUGAGACAAGAUCAACUAAAUUACUCCAACUGGUCGACCUCUGCCGACUCUCAUGUCUGCCCACUUGCUCUUGGACAGUUGAAGGAGAGAGGUGACCCUAACACAAUCCAGGACAGCUCUGAAAAAGGAACAGACAUCAAAAACCACAAACUUUCCAAUAUUCUAAGUUUGUGAACAAAGUAGAAUGUCUGGAAAUGGGAGGUAAAGGAAGAAUGGCUACAAUAUAUAAAGAGCUCAUUAAAAUAAACAAGACAAACAUCAAGAGUCCAAGAUAUGUGAGCAAAGAGCAUGAAAAGAUCAUUUACAUACAAAGAAAUCAGAGUAAAGCAGCUGACAUUCAUGGAGUGCUUAUCCUGGGGUAAGCAUCCCAUCAAGAGUUUUACAUAUCAGGGGCUGGGCUGUGGUCGAGUGGUUGAGUUCCUGUGCUCUGCUUUGGCAGCCUGAGGUUCCCCAGUUCAGAUCCUGGGCGCAGACCGACACACCGCUCAUCAGGCCAUGCUGUGGUGGCAUCCCACAUAAAAAAGCCAGAAUGACCUAGAACUAUGAUAUACAGCUAUGUACUGGGGCUUUGGGGAGAAAAAAAAAAGAGGAAGAUUGGCAACAGACGUUAUCUCAAGACCAAUCUUCCUCACCACAAGAAGCAUACCAAAAAAAAAAGUUUUACAUCUUAUUUAAUCAUCACAGGAAGUCCAGCAAGAAAAUUCAACCAACAAAUGUGAAGUUAGGUGACUGUGACAUGUUCCUCAUUUUUUCUAUAGUAUCUAUGAAAUGCUGUAAUCUUUUUGUUUGUCCCAAGAAAACUCUUGCAUUGCUGUCUUAAUGAAAUCUCUCCAGCCCUGCUGGUCUCUGCAGGAUAUAAUUCAUUCAUUCAGCUGUGAAAGGCCGGAAAAUGUUUACAUAUUCACAACUCCGAUGUCUGUGUCUGGAAUAAAAUUAACUUAUUUCUGAGUUGUCUGGGUUCUGUGGGUAACGUGAUUACUAUCAUAUAGUCAAGCUACUCUUGAAAGACUCGUUUAGCAGUCCUGAGGAAUAGUAGAAACAUGAAAAUACGUUGUAAGCUUUUAGGGCAAAGACCGUGCUUUGAUUCUGGUUCUCUGAAAGUGCUCCUGGGCCUAAAGCUCCUAUAAAUACACAGAUGAAAAGAAAGUGAUUGGCUGAACUGGAAAAAAAAAAAAAGGGAUCGCAAGGACCCCAUGAGGAGGCGGCAUCAUCCCUCUUAUAUCUGCCUGUCUGGGGCUGGAGGUUCGUGAACUGACCGCGCUCACCUGCUCUGAACCAGCGCGUUGGGAAGAUUUAUCCUCAGGACGAUCCUAGAAGAGCAGGUGAAGGCAGCCCCGGGGGACUGGUUUACUAGUACCAAGUUAGCCAGACCACGGGUAAGGCCACGCCCGGUCCCGGCAGGCGUGCAGAGAAAUUCACAGCCGUACCCUGCAGCCGGCGGCAUUGCACAUUGGUGUCGCUCUUUUGAAAAUAAACGGGAUGACACCCAGAAAGAAGCCAUACAACGAUUUAUGUUCUUGGUCCCUAUAAGCCUCUGUUGAAAUUCAUCCCCAGGAAAAGGUCUAAAAGACGCAAAAAGCCACAGCUGCUAAAAUAUGUACGGUAUCGUCAACAGCAAAAAACCCUGGACACAACCUCUGUGUCCAUUAGGCGAAGAACUUACCAAAAAUAUGGGAAGGCCACAUGGAGGCAUUGGAUAAAGCCAUUAAAAUGGGCUUUAAAGUGAAAAUUGUGAGGAUUUUGUGGAAAUACAGAAAACACCUAACGAAGUGCUAAGUAAACAUGGUGCGUCAUAAGCACGAGAGAGGGGCCCUCUGGACAAGCUCGUCUGUGCUGAGCUGCGGCCGAGGGCCCACUGCGGGCAGGAGCAUGGCACUUGCUCGGGCAGUUGGUGAAUGAAUGCCCAAUGUAUUUUGCAUUCAUUUUUUUCUUUCUUGUCACGACACCAUCUUUUUAAUAAUACUAAAUAAAUAUUCUAAAACAAUGAACCCAUGGAGGGACCAUCUGCUCUGGGAAGCCCCUGGCCCGGGAACUGUGGGAAAGACAGGAAGCAGAAAGGUCAGCGCGCCCCAGGGAAAUCCCACUGUCGGCCGGGUGGGCGGCACGCAGGGGAACC